This 449-nucleotide ribosomal RNA is filed under the name uncultured bacterium. Its description in RNAcentral is "bacterial SSU rRNA". It matches the Rfam family "Bacterial small subunit ribosomal RNA", at positions 329 to 795 of the family's 1533-position model. The record is from RNAcentral.
UUCCAGACUCCUACGGGAGGCAGCAGUGGGGAAUAUUGCACAAUGGGGGAAACCCUGAUGCAGCGACGCCGCGUGAGCGAUGAAGUAUUUCGGUAUGUAAAGCUCUAUCAGCAGGGAAGAAAAUGACGGUACCUGAAGAAGAAGCCCCGGCUAACUACGUGCCAGCAGCCGCGGUAAUACGUAGGGGGCAAGCGUUAUCCGGAUUUACUGGGUGUAAAGGGGGCGCAGACAGCGAUGCAAGCCAGGAGUGAAAGCCCGGGGCCCAACCCCGGGACUGCUCUUGGAACUGCGUGGCUGGAGUGCAGGAGGGGCAGGCGGAAUUCCUGGUGUAGCGGUGAAAUGCGUAGAUAUCAGGAGGAACACCGGUGGCGAAGGCGGCCUGCUGGACUGCAACUGACGUUGAGGCCCGAAAGCGUGGGGAGCAAACAGGAUUAGAUACCCCGGUAACA